Molecule: long non-coding RNA, 664 nt
Filed under: Homo sapiens (human)
Lineage: Eukaryota; Metazoa; Chordata; Mammalia; Primates; Hominidae
Description: HSALNT0192018
Source: RNAcentral
GCUUUGCAUCUUUUCCUUUUGGACGGAAUCCUUUCUGCACUGUUAGUCCUUCCAUGUGAUUUGAGUGAGACUGACCCUGCCUACCAACCCAGGGGUGGCCAACCAGAGUACUCUAUUUCCUGGCUACAAUGAUUGACUUAGUGAGGAGUCUGUGAUCCCAGAAGGUACCAUAGGAGUCAUUCUUGUAAUAAUUUUUGAAGCUAGUGAGAAAGAUGUGUUCUGUUUUUUGGGGGUGGAGGAGUGGGGUGAGGAAUAGCUAUUGUAACAAUAGAUUAAGAUUCAAGUGUUCUCCUUUGCCACUGAUAAGGAAGAACUUGCCUGAAAAAGAAGCCAAUAGAAAGGAAAGCCGAGUCAAGAAAUGGAGAAGAAGACAGAUUGCCAAUGACAAAAGUUAACCUUCUGGAAUCAGCUACAUAUUGAAAUUUCCUAUUAUGUAGCCCAAUCAAUUUUCUUAUGUGUUUAAGCUAGAUUGAGUUGAGUUUCCAUCAUUUGAAGUUACGAAUCCUUUCUUUGCACCAAAGGUGCAAAAAACUUAUCCCAGAUCAGUCUAACCAUCUGUCUUCUCUCUACACCUGGGAUCUUAAAAAUACUUAUAAAAAGUGUUAUAAGAACAGCUCAGAGAUGCAAAGUUCUGCCAGAGAUCACAUAAGCUUGUGGGUUGGUG